UGUUUAGUUCUGCUUUCUUAUCCGGC
This 26-nucleotide non-coding RNA is filed under the name Mus musculus (house mouse). The record is from RNAcentral. RNAcentral also lists the same sequence under 1 other name. Lineage: Eukaryota; Metazoa; Chordata; Mammalia; Rodentia; Muridae.